RNAcentral lists this long non-coding RNA (386 nucleotides) under Gossypium raimondii (Peruvian cotton). RNAcentral's name for it is "long non-coding RNA (GRAI_LNC005270)". The record is from RNAcentral. Lineage: Eukaryota; Viridiplantae; Streptophyta; Magnoliopsida; Malvales; Malvaceae.
CGGAUCCUAUCGGGCCUUUGGGUCGGGUCACACGGGUUGCUAAUGUGGCGCCGUUUUUAAACACCCUUCAAACCCUAAUCAAAACCCCAUCCUCCCACAACAGCAACAACCAUAGGAGACCGUCUCCUCCUCUCCUCUGCUAGGGCUUCGACCCAGCUCGGAGACCAAACACCAUGCCGUCGCACCCCAUCGCAGCACCUUCGAGUACCGAGGCCAGUGUCGCGCCAAACGAGACCUUCCCAGCCUCCCUUUCAUACUUCAAUUAUAAUCUUUAUAAUUGAGAUUAUUCAUACUUCGUAGAGUACAUGGAAGAAUAAGAUAUUUAUAAUCUUAAUGAUGCAUAUUCAAAUUCAAUUGAUGAUGAACUUGGUCAAGGACCAACAAAU